GAGCGCGCCCAGAGAGUGUGGACUAUGGGCGGAGCCGGGUGCCCCUGGACCAGCUGCCGGAGGAGGAAGGCGGCCUGGGGUCUGGGCCUCCCGCCGCUGGCCUUCACCUCCGCUGCCGUCGCGGGGCAGUUUUGGGAGGUGGGGAAGCACAAACGCAGUCCCCCCCCCACCACAAAUUAUGGAGUCAAGUUUCGCACAUUUGGGGAAGUUGCAAGAGUGCAAUGGAUAAGCCUCACCCUGGGAAAACCACCUUCGUGAUCAUGGUGUCUCCUCUGCCAGCUGUCUUCUAGAGUCUGCUGUUGAAGCUUCCCAAGGUGCUGAUCUGAACAAGCAAUGGGAAAGUUUAGAGCCAUCAGCAAGGACUCCUGCCCGUCCAGCUGUGCCCACCAGGGCAGCUGGGUUGCUCCACUUAUGGGAUGAACUGUUUACAGUUCUUUCUUGUGCUCAUUCCAAGAAACCACUGUUAUUACAAGGAAAUUAUCAUAGAAGAAGAACCCCAUUUGCCAAAUCUGCUAACUUUGGGAAGAACCAAAUCUGAGGAAGAGUCAUGCUACGGAUCAAGGACAAAAAAACAAAGAAUACCACUAAGCAACUACUAAAAUAUUCUAAAAGACUUGGAGUACAAAUGUUAGCAAAGAUGUGGAGCAACUGGAACUCUGAUUCAUUAAUGGCAGAGUAUAAACUUGUCCUACCACUUUGAAAAACUGGCAAUAAAGCUAAGCACACACUUACACUUUGUCCCAGCAAUUCCACUCCUGGUGGAGCUGCAAGGAACCAGGCUAGCUCCAGUAAGAAAGGAAGAUUACUGAAUGGAUGAAAAGGAAUCUCAUGGAAUCUAAACAGAAAAUAUAGCAGGACACCACAGGAGAUGAGGUAGAGAUUGGAACGCUGAUCUGAAACUGAAACAGAGUCGCCUUCUCUAUUCCUUUCUCUCUCUGUGUCACCUCUCUGUGUGUGCUUGUGAUUUUCCCCGUGCAGAGCUGCCUUCUCUGCACACAGGACUGUGUUCACUCAGCAUGGCCUCAUGUAUGUGGGUGGUAAAGUGGCAACUUCAACCCCUGAGCAUGACUCUCCCCAUCUAAGCAGGGUACUCUCUGCCACUUCAGGUCCAAUUACUUAUGUACUAG
This is a long non-coding RNA of Camelus dromedarius (Arabian camel), 1127 nucleotides long. RefSeq lists it as uncharacterized. The transcript has 5 exons. The record is from RefSeq and is a predicted model, not a curated record. Lineage: Eukaryota; Metazoa; Chordata; Mammalia; Artiodactyla; Camelidae.